Molecule: ribosomal RNA, 280 nt
Filed under: uncultured bacterium
Lineage: Bacteria
Description: partial 16S ribosomal RNA
Rfam family: Bacterial small subunit ribosomal RNA
Source: RNAcentral
UAUUCCUCGGGGGGCAGCAGUAGGGAAUCUUCCACAAUGGACGAAAGUCUGAUGGAGCAACGCCGCGUGAGUGAAGAAGGGUUUCGGCUCGUAAAGCUCUGUUGGGAGUGAAGAAAGAUAGAGGUAGUAACUGGCCUUUAUUUGACGGUAAUUACUUAGAAAGUCACGGCUAACUACGUGCCAGCAGCCGCGGUAAUACGUAGGUGGCAAGCGUUGUCCGGAUUUAUUGGGCGUAAAGCGAGUGCAGGCGGUCCAAUAAGGCUGAUGUUAAAGGCUUCGG